This 510-nucleotide long non-coding RNA is filed under the name Gallus gallus (chicken). RNAcentral's name for it is "lncRNA (ENSGALG00010026138.1)". The record is from RNAcentral. Lineage: Eukaryota; Metazoa; Chordata; Aves; Galliformes; Phasianidae.
ACAACAUCCACCGUAUAUCACAUUAGGGUGAAGAACACGAUGCCUUGCCCACUUAAAAAAUUCACCAUUGCAUUUUUGGGUAUGUUGGAGUUACACAACGAAAUGCAACUGAAAAGAAGUACUGGGCAGAGCCCAAGACGGCACAUCGAGCCAUGAACAAAUUGGUGUUCUCUCUUCUUUGCUGAACAAAGUGAACACUGAUUUUGGAGGAAGAGAGGCAAAAAGCAAGAAAAGACCAUGGAUUAGAGAAGUAAAGAUUGAAAGGGCAAGGAGGAAAUGAAAGGCCUCAGCUCAAUUCUGUAGUGAAUCAACAACCUUUCUCAAAGAGGAAAAAAGAAAACUAGCAUGUAUGGCUAGAAAGUGGCUAGAUGGUGUCACAGAACUCAAGAAUGAGAAAGUUCUGAGAAUACAACCUCACACUGCACCUCCUGGUGAAGAAUGAGACCAUCUUGUUUGAAGAAUGUGGGUCAGGCAAAUUGAUAUUCUACACUUUCUUCUGUGAUAAGGACC